RNAcentral lists this ribosomal RNA (527 nucleotides) under Enterococcus faecium. RNAcentral's name for it is "bacterial SSU rRNA". It matches the Rfam family "Bacterial small subunit ribosomal RNA", at positions 841 to 1369 of the family's 1533-position model. Lineage: Bacteria; Bacillati; Bacillota; Bacilli; Lactobacillales; Enterococcaceae. The record is from RNAcentral.
CAGUGCUGCAGCUAACGCAUUAAGCACUCCGCCUGGGGAGUACGACCGCAAGGUUGAAACUCAAAGGAAUUGACGGGGGCCCGCACAAGCGGUGGAGCAUGUGGUUUAAUUCGAAGCAACGCGAAGAACCUUACCAGGUCUUGACAUCCUUUGACCACUCUAGAGAUUGAGCUUCCCCUUCGGGGGCAAAGUGACAGGUGGUGCAUGGUUGUCGUCAGCUCGUGUCGUGAGAUGUUGGGUUAAGUCCCGCAACGAGCGCAACCCUUAUUGUUAGUUGCCAUCAUUCAGUUGGGCACUCUAGCGAGACUGCCGGUGACAAACCGGAGGAAGGUGGGGAUGACGUCAAAUCAUCAUGCCCCUUAUGACCUGGGCUACACACGUGCUACAAUGGGAAGUACAACGAGUCGCGAAGUCGCGAGGGCAAGCUAAUCUCUUAAAGCCUCUCUCAGUUCGGAUUGCAGGCUGCAACUCGCCUGCAUGAAGCUGGAAUCGCUAGUAAUCGCGGAUCAGCACGCCGCGGUGAAUAC